This 415-nucleotide ribosomal RNA is filed under the name uncultured bacterium. RNAcentral describes it as "bacterial SSU rRNA". It matches the Rfam family "Bacterial small subunit ribosomal RNA", at positions 361 to 773 of the family's 1533-position model. The record is from RNAcentral.
AUAUUGGUCAAUGGGCGCGAGCCUGAACCAGCCAAGUAGCGUGAAGGAUGACUGCCCUAUGGGUUGUAAACUUCUUUUAUAAAGGAAUAAAGUCGGGUAUGGAUACCCGUUUGCAUGUACUUUAUGAAUAAGGAUCGGCUAACUCCGUGCCUGCAGCCGCGGUAAUACGGAGGAUCCGAGCGUUAUCCGGAUUUAUUGGGUUUAAAGGGAGCGUAGAUGGAUGUUUAAGUCAGUUGUGAAAGUUUGCGGCUCAACCGUAAACUUGAAGUUGAUACUGGAUAUGUUGAGUGCAGUUGAGGCAGGCGGAAUUCGUGGUGUAGCGGUGAAAUGCUUAGAUAUCAAGAAGAACUCCGAUUGCGAUGGCAGCCUGCUAAGCUGCAACUGACAUUGAGGCUCGAAAGUGUGGGUAUCAAAC